GAUGAACGCUAGCUACAGGCUUAACACAUGCAAGUCGAGGGGUAACGAGAGGAAAGCUUGCUUUCCUUGUCGACGACCGGCGCACGGGUGAGUAACGCGUAUCCAACCUGCCCCCAACUAAGGAAUAACCUUGCGAAAGUAAGACUAAUACCUUAUAAUUUCCUCAGAUGUCAUCUGACGAGGAAUAAAGAUUUAUCGGUUGUGGAUGGGGAUGCGUCUGAUUAGCUUGUUGGCGGGGUAACGGCCCACCAAGGCAACGAUCAGUAGGGGUUCUGGGAAGAAGGUCCCCCACAUUGGAACUGCGACACGGUCCAAACUCCUACGGGAGGCAGCAGUGAGGAAUAUUGGUCAAUGGGCGGAAGCCUGAACCAGCCAAGUAGCGUGCAGGAUGACGGCCCUAUGGGUUGUAAACUGCUUUUAUACAGGAAUAAAGUUAGCCACGUGUGGUUAUUUGUAGGUACUGUAUGAAUAAGGACCGGCUAAUUCCGUGCCAGCCGCCGCUGUAA
RNAcentral lists this ribosomal RNA (506 nucleotides) under uncultured bacterium. RNAcentral describes it as "partial 16S ribosomal RNA". It matches the Rfam family "Bacterial small subunit ribosomal RNA", at positions 28 to 523 of the family's 1533-position model. The record is from RNAcentral.